GACGGAUUUCUCGGAAGUCGACCUGCGUCGCCGUCGGGGUCAAGAGGAAGUGACGUUAUUUAUUCCCACAUCCUACAUGUGGAUGUGAGAUGGCGUGUUUAUAUUGUUGAAUUUGACCUGCCCUGAAAACGCGCAUAGCUUGUGUGCUGUGUUGUAUGAAUGGAAUGUAAACAGCAGCAUUGUGCACGUGCACGUGCACGUGCAUUGCAGCAUAUCCAGGGCAGCGAACAAUAACAAUUUGGCGAUAUUUUCGUGUGUUACGGCCACAGAUAACCACGAUUGUGGUAAGGAAAUGUCUCGUGAGUCAAGUGAGAAUCAAGCAGACACAUUUAACAUGUCUAAUGCAGAAAUAGGAGAAGAAAAGCAGCCCAAAAUGAUCGAGAUCGAGAGAAAAUUUCUUGUGACAGGAGAUACGGGUAAGAAGAUAUUGAAUGCCGGUGGAACGUACAGUGGUGUGGUAACUCUAACUGACAGUUAUUUUGACAAUGAAAAUUACAGUUUAACCAAGGGAGACUUCUGGUUGCGACGUAGGAAUGAUCAGUGGGAACUGAAGAUGCCUCCUAAAAUUCGAGAAGAAAAAUCUACAUGCACACAGUACGAGGAAGUGACAAGCGAGCGAGACAUUGUUUCUAAGGUGGCAGCCAUUUUGUGCAACACUGCAAAUCAAAACAAUGAUGACACUGUGAAUGGAAACGAUCAAAUUUAUGGGUUGAAUGAUGUUCAGACAUUGGUUAAAAAGUUUGAUCUCAAGCCCUUUGCAGAACUUGUUACGAAUCGCAAGAACUAUCGUAUGAACAAUGAGAUUUCAGUCACUAUCGAUGAGACGGACUUUGGUUUUCGUGUUGGCGAGAUAGAGAUGAUGGUUCAAAGUAGUGAUGCUGACGUCAUGAAGGAUGCUGUAGCUAAAAUUGAUGGAGUGGCACAAAGUUUAGGCAUGGAAGACUUUGGUUCGUUGUCUGUGGCUGAUUAUCUGGAUGAUGCUAUUCUAUCUCACAUCUCAAACUGCAUCUAACAUUCUACUAAAAUGCACAUGCUUUUCCAAUCUAGUCUCAGUUCAAGGCAAACUGGAAGCUUAUUUGUUGGCCAACAAUCCUGUUCACUACCAGACACUGAUGGAUGCUGGCAUUUUGAAGGAUU
Strongylocentrotus purpuratus (purple sea urchin) is the source of this 1137-nucleotide long non-coding RNA. RefSeq annotates it as thiamine-triphosphatase. NCBI's taxonomy places the organism in Eukaryota, Metazoa, Echinodermata, Echinoidea, Camarodonta, Strongylocentrotidae. The transcript has 3 exons. The record is from RefSeq and is a predicted model, not a curated record.